UAUAUUUAUAUAUAGACGUAAAUGCGGCAUUUCAUCGAAUAUGUAGUAGUUUUAAGGUUUAUGUACAUAUGCAUCAAGGAUCGUUAAACACCAGUAGCCUCGUAUCGGUGCUUACGUGAUCAUCGUCACGUCCAAGUAUUUUACGCAUUUGAAAUAAUCGAAGGACGUGACAACGGAAUUGACAGCAACAAAAACAAUAAUAAAAAGUACAAAUAAAUUCACUAUAAAUUUUGGAUUAAAAAUUACAGAUAGUAAUCAUAGUGGAUAUUUAUGACGUACUUAAAAAAGUAUAUAUUUUUUUAGAUUGCUAAGUUUCGUCACAACGGGUUAUCGAACGAAGCCGAGCUGGAAGUGGUAAAGAGAGUGGAGAAUCAGCCAAUGAGACGAUGUGGGAGAGGAUGCGCGUAUAAUCGAGAUUCAAAAACACAUAUACAUAUAUAUGUGUGUGCAUGUGUGCAUAUACACACUACACACGCACAUGUUUAUUAUUAAUACAUAUACUUUUGAAUUAAGAUUAUAAAAAUACAUGGUACAAUAAAAAGAAAAUAGAGUGCGAAUGAAGAACAACUCUGAAGACGUAAACAUAAUAUAUGUGUGCUGAUAAAAAAACAUUAUUAUUUUAAAAUCAAUUGCGUAUAGGUCAAUAAGGACAUUUUUAUAUUUUCUUACUUCAUAUUUAUGUUUUAACUCAAAACAUUUAGAGGAGAGAUGUGUGUUCAAGAUUAAGCAGAAAUUAUGUGACGUCGGAUCCACAAGAGCUCAAGAUGAGGCGAGCUCCAGGCCAGACAAAAGAAAACAGCAGGUAGACGUCUAUAAUAACAGGUUUAGCUAGAAGUAGAGGAUUUUCUUUUUCGCGUCAUUAUAGGGGACUGAAGUCUCGUCCAGCAGGAGGUUGUAUUUGGGAACGAUAAUAGUAUUAGUGAGUAUCCGUGUGUUAGUAUACCUGGGAAGGAAAAUCUGAGGAUCAAAUUUCCGUGUGGACGGAAAAUCGACCAAGAUCAGCUGUUGUAUUUAAUACUGCAUUGAAAAGUUUUUCAAAUAUUCUUACAACAUUACUCUGUCCCUAUUUAACUUUUUUUUUUAUUACAGCAGGUAUAUCCGAAAAGGUUGUAAAUCACCCACAUUCUCUUUGCCUGAUGGAUCUUCAGGUUCUGUACUACAGCCUCUUUCUCUCUCCGUCUCUCCCUAGUUUAUACUAAUGUAGCACUGCAGCCAUACUAAAAAUUCUCGGCUAUUAUGUUCUCUGGGUGGACCCUCAUGUAAUUCAGCUUCAGCGCGUCUCCGUUGAAUUAACAUGGACGAGAAGGAAUAAUGAAGGAAGAAAAAAAAUACCUGCUUGUCAACGUGAAUCCCAGUGGAGAGAACGAGGCAUAUGCAGCUGCAUGUCUACUACUAUACAUUGUGUAUACUAAUAGACAAAGUAAAAUCAUAAGUUGAUCUAAACACGUUUCUACCAACGCGACGAGUAUACUACGUAUAUAUUUAUCGUAGUCAUACGUAUAUGUAGACAUAUGUUAAAAAAACUAGAAUGUCAUUAUAACGAGAAAUUAACACUAGGAAGUAUCUGUUUCUAUACAUUUAUAGAUUUUUAAACUUAUAUGGAUAAUUUAAAAAUUGAGGAAGUCGAGUUUCAAAUUGCAACUUUACUGUUUUAUGUCCCCGUAGUUUUGAGUACGUGCUUGUAUGUAUGCAUACAUGGACGUGUAUGUGUAUGGAUGUAUGUAUUCAUGUAUAUAUGUAUGAAUAUGUAUAAGUGUAAAGGGAGAGCCGUGGCUUUUUGGUCGAUGAUGGCAGAUGGCGAGUGCAGCUGGUAAAAUUGAGCGACGACCACGCCGACUACUCAAUGAUACGAUGGCCCAGCAACACAAGGGGAACCCAUGGUAUGCCAUGAGAAAAUUAACAAAGAUAAAAUAUUUAUGGAAUAAAAAAGUUUAUUUUUAAAAAAACUGAUACUAAGUUGAUUAUUAUAUGAUUUAAGUAUAGAAUUUUCCUUUUCCUUCGACUACUUAACGCCCACCUUGAUAUUUCACCUCAGCGGUUUAUCAUACGUGGGUGUGAUGAAUGGAUAAUUUAAUGGCGUAUGAUGUUGGAUCGAUUAGAUGAAACUUUCACGGAUCAGACAGAGAUAGACGCAACAAAAGAACUAAGAUAAUAUGGUGUUGGUGUGUAGUGAUGUUUCGUUUGAUGGUUUCCUCGCUUCCGUCCAACUUGUCUUUUAUGUUACAUGGUUAUAUUUUUUUGUUGUUGUUGCUGGCUCUUUGUUUUAUUAUUUCAGUUGCUGACGUUGAGUCUCUAGGUCUUGGUGUCGGUGUCUCGGGUGUAUACGAGGUUCGUGGAAGAUGUGAGCGUUAAGUAAAAGCAAAGAAACAAAACAUUAUCCAAAAAGAGGAUCAUGAUGUAUACGAGUAACAGGAUACUAAAGGGAGCUCUUGGCGGAAACACGCUCGUCGUUGUCGUCAUGGAAAGCCACGUCCGUCGAUACAAAGGAAGUACAGAGGAAUGGAUUCAAGGGCAAUAUAAAUGUGAAGCAAUGCUCACUUACUGUUACGGGUUUAGCUGUAUGGAUGCUGGGUAUAAAAGAAUAACGUGAGAAGCUGAUCAAGUAUAGAUGUGGCUGUGCGGUGUAGGAGCAUUGGGAGGUUUCUUGAUGUUGAUGAGGCCUCGAGAGAGCUCUUGUAUUAUGAAUAGUAGUCCAAGAAGAGAAGAGCACUGCUGGCACGACGGAAAAAGGCCGGAGGCGAGAGAAAAAAAGGGGCCUGGUGUAGAGUCUCCGAGUGGCUUAUACUUCUUAUUCCUCUUUUCUUUAUUUUGUUCUCUUCAGCUGGUUUUGGAGCAGACCAGCAGACGUGAACACAACACACAUAACAACUUCAACACCAUCGAGCACAUUGCAUGGUGGUGUAGCCAACCAAACCAUAGUCUUGUCUGCUCUGCUGCUGUUAUGUGUAUAUGUUGUGUUGCUACCAGUUCUGGCAGCGAGUCAGGGCGCUGUUGCCAAGCGGAAGUUGUAUACAGAUGGUGAAUAAAUGGCAGGGCCAUUUUUCCAAAGAAUCAUUCGGUUUCUAUUACGGUUUUUUUAUUCAUAUGCGUACAAAUAUGUAUACAUGCACACAUGUGACUCUAUAUACAUCUACAUACACGUUACGCCCUUUCCUGGCCACCGUGACCGCUUUAUUCCAGCGGCAAAAGCUAGUUAAACUUUUAUUUCAAUAAACCUAAAAAGAGAUACCAAGACUUGGUUUAGUUUUUUCUGAUGAUAAACUUAUAUUAGACAUAUUUUGUUAUAUCACAUAGAAAAGUUCAAUUUAGCAGUACAUAUAUAUGUAUAUAUGAUAUAUAUAUAUAUAUAUAUAAUGUAAAAAGUAAAGGGGGAACGAUCGAGUCAACGGGACAAGUGAUUCCCACGCUUCGUGGCCCCUCGAUCUUUACGAUUGUAUUACCUUGAUUUAGUUUCUUGCAUUUACGAGAGUUAACAACCAACGCGGAUGUAUAUAUUGUAAAAAAAUAUAAUCCUUAGCAUAGAUUGCUAAAUAAUAUUACAUUUAAAAAAGGUUAUUGUAUAUCAAAAUACGGGUAUCGCUACGUGAGUUUACAGCCGGAUUAUAUUAUCCAUGAGUUGAGAGUUGAGAGAGUAGUCGAUUGUGUACAUGAAGAGAAAGAAAGCAUCAGAUCAGCAAAAUAAGGGGCUUGGUCUGUACUCCAUGUACUUUUGAUGCUAUACAACCAAACCUUAUAUUCCAUCCGCUCUUUCGGAGACUAAUUGGCGCUAGGAUAAUAUCCUAGCAUUCUGAAGAGAGAGAGAGAGCGAAAGAGAAUGACUAUGCUGGCUAGAAAUAGUCCACAAGAGCGACCAGGACAGAAAGAACACUUUGGUUGGUGGUAUUGGUGACCUCACGCGAGAGAAACGCGGUGUUGCCAUAUCUCCAACGUGGCGUCAAUGUUUUUAUAUAUAUAUAUUAUAUACAUCAACCUUCUCUUAAAGCUGAUGUUGCGAUAUCAGUAUAUCCUUUUAAGCUAGUAUAGCUUAUACGUGAAUUCAUUUGUUGAUCAAUCAUGUUUAUUUAAUGACUAAUUUUAAUUCUUGCUCUCCAUCAUUUUUAUUUUUUAUUUUUUUAGGAAUAAUAAAAAAUUUAUUGACGUAGCUGCGAUACGUCAGUUAUCAAAUCACCGGUUUGUGUAUAAAAAUUAAAGACUGGUUUUUUUUUUCUAUACAAAAAUACUUUGUUAUUGACGAUUGAGUUCAAUAAUAUGUUUAUAAUAGCUCUAGUCAUUAGGAAGAAAUAAAAUAAUUAUAUGAUCAAUUAAUUGAUUGGUCUAUCGACGACCAGCCAAUAAACACAAGACAAAAAACAUAAAAGUUUUUAAUUAAUA
Microplitis demolitor is the source of this 4371-nucleotide long non-coding RNA. RefSeq lists it as uncharacterized. The transcript is spliced from 3 exons. The record is from RefSeq and is a predicted model, not a curated record. Lineage: Eukaryota; Metazoa; Arthropoda; Insecta; Hymenoptera; Braconidae.